CUGAACCAGAAAGUGACUAGAGACUAUGACCAUGCUGGAAACAUGGAGAUUGUCAGUUUCAGCUGCUGUUAAUUUGCAUUAUUGCUGAUGGGUGGCACUCUUUUGAAUGUAAGCAUUUCUUUCACUUGUAUAUAUUGUCUGUACUGCUUGUAUUGUGUAGGACAUUAGCACUGAGGAAGGGCUUGUUGCCCGAAACGUUUGUUUAUAUUGUGUCCUCUAAUAAACUGCAGUAGCACCUGGGUGUACACUACCUACUUGAUGCGCAGUAUUCCAUUUUUUGUCUAUCACCUAAAUAAGAUUAAUUAUAACAUCUCUAUUAAGGAAAAAAAAGCGAUGGAGGCUUUGAGUAGAGAUACCUCAAUAAUUAUAAAACCCGCCGACAAAGGCGGAGGAGUGGUCAUACAGGAUAAAGAUGUUUACUUACAUGAAGUAAAAAACCAAUUGGAUGAUAUUAAUACAUAUCUAAAGCUAAGGAAGGACCCAAUAAGUGAGAUUAAAGUAAAAUAUCAUUGUUUUCUAGAAAAAGGAGUAGAAACAAAAAUAUUGAAUAGAAAUGAAUGUUCUUUCCUUUCCCUGGAGAACCCAAGAGUGUCUGUUAUUUAUACACUUCCAAAGUUGCACAAAGAUUCCAUCCACCCCGGGGAGACCCAUACUAUCAGGGAUUCAUUCUAUUCUGUCAGCUCUGUCACAGUAUAUUGAUGCACAUUUGCAACCAUUAGUCAGAGGAUGUCCGUCAUUUUUACAGGACUCUAUGAGUCUUUUAAAUAUAUUACAAGAUUUUAAUUGGGAAGACUACUUUUAUUUGAUAACUUGUGAUGUCACAAGUUUAUAUACAAUAAUAGACCAUGACAAGGGUUGCGAGGCAGUAAAACAUGUUUUAAUUGAAUCAGGCCAAUUUCAAGAAAUACAGAUAGAUUUUAUUUUCGAGGGGAUUAGGAUGAUUUUAAAUAAUAAUUAUUUUUGUUCGAGGGAGACUUCUAUCUUCAGAUCAGAGGGAAUGCUAUGGGGACCAAGUUCGCACCGAUUUAUGCCAAUUUAUUCACGGCAUUUUGGGAAAAACAAUUUGUUUAUGGUGGCCAUGAAUUCGGUGCGCACUUGGUCCUCUAUAAGAGAUAUAUAGAUGAUAUCUUCCUGAUCUGGAAGGGACCUAUUCAACAAUUUUCAGCAAUUUCCUUUGUUUUUAAAUUCAAACACAUGGGUGAUUAAGCUUACCAAAGAUAUAAGCACAACAAACAUUAGUUUUUUUAGACCUGGAGAUUUAUAUUCACAAUGAUAGAAUCACGACCCGUACACACUUUAAACAAGUAGAUGUGAAUAGCUACCGAAAUAGAUAGUUGCCAUAAUUUUCCUUGGUUAAAAAAUAUACCCAAAGGGCAAUUUUUAAGACUUCGUAGGAACUGUUCUGAACAGUCAGUUUUUAGAAAUCAAGCUAACGCUUUGAAAGAGCAGUUUAAACAAAAGGGAUAUUCCGAGGAAAAAUUACAACAGGAGAUUAAUCAAGUCUUAGAAUCUGAUAGGGGUCAACUUUUAAAGUACAAAGAAAAAAACAUCUCACAAGAGAAGAAUGAAAUCCCCCUUAUUUUUAAUUAUGCAAGCAAUAUUCAUUGUCUUAAAAGAAUUAUUAAUAGAAAUUGGCACAUUUUAAGAUCAAGAUAUUUCAAAUUAUAUAGGGCCAAAACCCAGGUUUGUUUUUAGGGGAGCAAAAAAUUUUAGACAAAUCUUAACCACAAGUUUUAUUGAAAAAGAGAAAUCAAAAAACUUUUUAUCAAGUUGGGCAGAAAUUCAUAAAGGUUUCUAUCAUUGCGGAACUUGCAAUGCAUGCAAAAUUUCUAAUUGUAACAAUAAAAAUAUAAAGAGUUUUAUAUCCAAAACGACUGGAAGAUCGUAUAAUAUAAAAUGCCCCAUCACAUGUCAAUCAAAAGGAGUUAUUUAUUUAUUAUCAUGUGAAUGUGGGCUUCAGUAUGUGGGUAAAACUACCAGGGCACUUAAUAUAAUCAUUAGUGAACAUAUAAGAAAUAUAAAGAGAGGCUUCAACUAACCAUUUUUUUAGAUAAACAUAACUCUGAUUAGAAUUUUGUGCAACAGAAAAGUUACCAUGCAUUGGAGAGGGGGGAUUAUAAUAAAAAAACUAAGACUGCAUGAAACAAAAUGGAUUUUUGAAUUACGCACUUUAACCCCAAAAGAAUUGAACAUAGAUUUUGAAAUGAAUUCCAUUUUAUAAUCAAGCCCUUUUAAAUAGAAAUUGAUUAUUUAUUUCCAUUUUUUAUUAAGCUUUUAAUGGUCCUUUUUUAUACAAAAUGUCCCUUAUCUAUUUAUUUAUUUCUUGGGUUAUAUAUAUAUUUUUUUGUAUACAUUUAUUACACUGAGAUUUUUAUGAAGUGGUGAUGUGUAUGUCUUUUUUAAUGUGUGGUUAUUAGUUUGUAUUAAUAUGUACUUUUAUAUCUUUUUUUAAUGUUUUUACAUGGCUUUUGGGACUUUCGCCCUUUUCCAAAAUGGAGGCUUGUAAUAUACAAGGUAUUCCAUAAUACCACAGAACUUUGAGCACUAAUGGUAUGAACACUCCUCCCUCUUUCUGGAUUGGAAUUCGUAUGUAUUACGCGAAGAUGGGAGGAGCGUCCCGUCUCCAGUAGUGGAUGCCUAUAACAAUGCAGGCGGAAGCACGUCAUCGGGAGAUGUCACAUGACUCCGAAAACUGGAAAGCGGACGUCACCGGAAAAGGAUGUGCCGCCAUCUUGCUAACCCGGAAGAGACUGUAGUUAAUGAUAAUUUAUAUGUUAUAUGCCCAUAGAAAUAAUGUAUGUCUCUAUGACAUGCCGAAAACUGGAAGCACCACCAUCUUAGUGGUGGUGGGUUGCUUCCGGUCAAGGCCAUAUUUGGAAAUGUAAUUAUCCCAAUUUGCCUCUACACCUGUAACCCCACACCCUUUAGGGGGUAUAUAUAGGUGUACAGACUAUGGGAAAAAUAUGCUGCACCUGAGGAAGACCCCAAGAGGUCGAAACGCGUUGUGUUUUGUGGCUGAAACUUAUUUGUUAUUUUCUAUUUAUGGGAAUAAAAAUUCUACUUUGAACAAUCUUCCUUGAUUCCUGGGUUCCUGCAAUCCCAGUAAUAGAGGACCUUCAAGGAGAAAGACUCAGCAUAUCCCACUUUGGUGGAUGAAAUGCCUCUAUAGUCCAGAGUCUCACUUAUUUGGCUCUGGAAAUUGUGAGUGUACUUUUUCCCUUCCUGUAUUUUAUACAUUUAUUGAAAC
This 3247-nucleotide long non-coding RNA is filed under the name Pelobates cultripes (western spadefoot toad). The record is from RNAcentral. Lineage: Eukaryota; Metazoa; Chordata; Amphibia; Anura; Pelobatidae.